UAAUUAGUUUGAGGUUUGACCUGCCCUAUGAAUAUUAAAUGGCCGCGGUAUUUUGACCGUGCGAAGGUAGCAUAAUCAUUAGUUUUUUAAUUGAAAGCUUGUAUGAAUGGUUUGACGAGAUAAGAACUGUCUCUAAAUAAAAAUUAUAAUUUUAUUUUUGGGUAAAAAAGCUUAAAUUUUUUUAAAAGACGAGAAGACCCUAUAAAUCUUUAUAUUUUUAUUUUAAAUAAUUUUAGUUUUUUUUUUAAUUAUUUUUAUUAAAAAGUAUUUAAUUGGGGAAAUUUAAUGAUUUAUAAAAUUCAUUAUUAUUUUUAUUCAUUUAUAUAUGUGUAAUUGAUCCUUUAUUAAAGAUUAUAAGAUUAAGUUACUUUAGGGAUAACAGCGUAAUUUUUCUGGAGAGUUCAUAUCUAUAGAAGAGAUUGCGACCUCGAUGUUGGAUUAAAAUUAAUUUUGGGUGCAGAAUUUCACAAAAUUUGGUCUGUUCGACCAUUAAAAUUUUACGU
RNAcentral lists this ribosomal RNA (503 nucleotides) under Hydrocanthus guignoti. RNAcentral describes it as "partial 16S ribosomal RNA". The stretch from base 375 to 503 matches the Rfam family "Bacterial large subunit ribosomal RNA", at positions 2473 to 2601 of the family's 2925-position model. Lineage: Eukaryota; Metazoa; Arthropoda; Insecta; Coleoptera; Noteridae. The record is from RNAcentral.